UAGAAAUUUAUUCCCUGACUGCCUGCGCGGGAUGAUCUGACCUAUCCCUCGAUACUUCAAAUUGGUGAAUUAGUGGAUCUCUUCUAAUGUGGGGGUGAGUUCAAAAUCUUUAAACGUAAAGACAACUCGAUCUGGGUCCUAAAACUGAAUCAACGCUCUAACCACAUGCUUGUCAGGAGAGAUCUUGAGGAAUGUAGGGAGGUAUUCC
Molecule: long non-coding RNA, 208 nt
Filed under: Capsicum annuum
Lineage: Eukaryota; Viridiplantae; Streptophyta; Magnoliopsida; Solanales; Solanaceae
Description: long non-coding RNA (CANN_LNC005551)
Source: RNAcentral